RNAcentral lists this ribosomal RNA (489 nucleotides) under uncultured bacterium. Its description in RNAcentral is "bacterial SSU rRNA". It matches the Rfam family "Bacterial small subunit ribosomal RNA", at positions 28 to 526 of the family's 1533-position model. The record is from RNAcentral.
GACGAACGCUGGCGGUGCGCCUUAUGCAUGCAAGUCGAGCGAAGCUUUUCAGUAGUUUACUACAGAAAAUGACUGAGCGGCGAACGGGUGAGUAACGCGUGAGCAACCUACCUUAGUUACUGGGAUAGCCCGAGGAAACUCGGAUUAAUACCGGAUAUUCUUAUUUAAUCACAUGAUUUUUUAAGGAAAGGUCAGCCGAACUAAGAUGGGCUCGCGUUCUAUCAGCUAGUUGGUAGGGUAAUGGCCUACCAAGGCUACGACGGAUAGCUGGUCUGAGAGGACGAUCAGCCACACUGGGACUGAGACACGGCCCAGACUCCUACGGGAGGCUGCAGCAGGGAAUAUUGCGCAAUGAGCGAAAGCUUGACGCAGCGACACCGCGUGUGGGAUGACGGAUCUAGGUUUGUAAACCACUUUCAGGAGGGAAGAAAAUGACGGUACCUCCACAAGAAGCCCCGGCCAACUACGUGCCAGCCGCCGCCGUAACAC